This 247-nucleotide ribosomal RNA is filed under the name uncultured bacterium. RNAcentral describes it as "partial 16S ribosomal RNA". It matches the Rfam family "Bacterial small subunit ribosomal RNA", at positions 91 to 334 of the family's 1533-position model. The record is from RNAcentral.
CGGACCGGCGCACGGGUGAGUAACACGUAUGCAAUCCACCUGUAACAGGGGGGGUAACCCGGAGAAAUCCGGACUAAUACCCCAUAAUAUGGGCUCUCCGCAUGGAGGGUCCAUUAAAGAGAGCAAUUUUGGUUACAGACGAGCAUGCGCUCCAUUAGCCAGUUGGCGGGUAACGGCCCACCAAAGCGACGAUGGAUAGGGGUUCUGAGAGGAAGGUCCCCCACAUUGGAACUGAGACACGGUCCAA